Long non-coding RNA from Lagopus leucura (white-tailed ptarmigan), 3281 nucleotides. RefSeq lists it as uncharacterized. The record is from RefSeq and is a predicted model, not a curated record. The transcript is spliced from 8 exons. Lineage: Eukaryota; Metazoa; Chordata; Aves; Galliformes; Phasianidae.
ACCUAUCUAAGAACGUCUUACUGAAUGGCACAUGGUUUGAUGCACAAUGCUUUUUUAUAUGAAGCACUGAAACUGUGGAUAUGCAACUUCACAUGCGUGUUAGAGGUUCCCCACACCUCUCUGUACAUUAAAUAAUCACUGCACUUUUGCAGGGGACUGAAAACAGGACAGGAGAAUGUAUCUUUCUGUUUUCUUUUCAGUUGAUCAACUUUUCUGGAAACCGUGAUGAAUUGCUCACCAGUUCAGACAACGCACCCUUUUAUUUCCCCUGAUUCAGACAGCAACAGGAAGGCAGGAAAGCAGGUUGCCACAUGGGGCUUGGAAGAACUGACUGUCUUGCUAGGGUGCGGCUGGAUAUCAGACCUCAGGUUGCUCUCUAAGGCAAAACAGUGUUACCUGCUCAUCACACAUUGCAUGGUUGACCUCUUACCACAAGUGAGGACAGCUCUUGCCAGAAAUGGAACCAGAAGAAUCUCGGUACAAAAUAAGAAAUCUGUCUAGAGGAUAAGUAAAUGUUGGCCAUUAUUGAUAGCCAGUCAUGGUGAGGUCAUCACGGAUCCAUUCUGUUCAGAUAAGUUAUGCUGCUUUGUUGUCACAUUCUGACCUACGGGUGAGCACAAAGUAGCAGCUGCGACCCUACCAAUUAGAUGGAGGUAGAGCUGCUGGGGGUAUCAGAUAGAAGGAUUAAGAAACCCCGUGGAGAAAGCCAGCAAUUAUCCAUGAGUGUCACAAAGACAGAGGUGAUCAGAGGAACUGCUUCUGUGGAGGGAACGAAACACAAGCUGCAGCCAAGAGCAGAGAGUGGAAGCAGAAUUAAAAGGACCUGCAGCAAGUCCGUGUCCUGCAGGCUGUGCCUAACAUGAUGUCUUCUGUACACCUGCCUUCUGCUGAGCUGAGCUCUCAGAUGAAGAGUUCGAAAUUAGAGUUGCCAGAAGAAGCAACCGUUCUGAGCGUUGAGGAAAAGCCUAUCUCCCUGAAGUCGCCUAGCACUGAUUUCACACUCUGGCUAUCCUGUAUUUGCUGUAAUGGGGGAAAAAAAUAAUUUUUUCAAGUGCAAGACAGAUGAGCUUGAUGCAGAUACAUCUCAAAGUUGGAGUGUACGAUGCCUCUUGAUCAACUUCUGAGCCAGCCUUUCUGCCUGGAUCUUUACAGUCUAUCUCUGUCCAGGGAAUACAACAACAAAACUUUGCCAUGAGAGAGCCUACAAGCUGGGAAGGUACCUCGCACGGAAGCAGCUGCCCUGAGGAGCACUCAUGAGAAUGCCUGCCCUGGGCAUGGUAGGACUGCAAGAUCUGAGAUAAGGCUUCAACACCGUUGCUAACUGGAGAAAUACUCUUUCCAACAGCUGCUCAAUCCAGAUUUCAGCAUCCAUUCCAGCUACUGAUAAUUUUAUCCUCAGUAUAGCUUUAAUUAACUGUGUUGUACACCAUAGUAGAUCUACCUUGUUAAACUGCUGCUCUUUGUUUCAGUGGAAAUGCUAUAAGAGACAGAUAAAAUAAUUUUGUUACGUGGUUACGAGGCUCUCAAUUUGUUAAAUUUGCCAGCUGCUGUGGGAGCCUAUGGGAUGGAAGGUAUCAUAUAAAUACAAAAAAGUGCUAUUAUUUACCUGAAUGACUCUAUUCUCUCCCCCUAUCCGCCCUAACCCCCCUUUUUUAAAUAUACUUAUUUUUUAUAUUUCUUUCCUGCAUUUUGUUCUCUAUUUGGAUGGUUUCUUCAAGUCCCCAGGUGGAACUACAAUCAUAAGUUCUCUAAACUCAGGUAUCAACAGCCCUCACAUUUUUCUGACCUUUGUUAGGCAGUUAUUUACCUGACCUGCUUUGCUUGUUAUUCAAUCUUUCUGUCUUCUGCAAUUAAUUCCAAGGCAAUUUGAACUUCAAAUGCUUUUCACUCAAGCUGAGUUUAAGCAUGUAAAUUUGGAUCACUGUGCUUAGGGAGUCCAGUUUGUCUUCUUGCACUCAACAGAUACACUGUUUUUCUCCAUGUCCAAGGAUUAAUUACAAACAGCUGAAAUAGAAAUUCCUGAAGAAAGACUAAUCCUGAUGCGGAUGCAUGGAAGAGAGAUAUGAGGCAGCAGUCCAGUAAACCUCCAGCUUGAGGCUUAGUUGCAUUUAAAUGCCAUAAUUCCUGGAGCCAACUCAAACUAUCAAUCAGAAUCCUGUCAGUCUAAACAAGUCUGAAGCUUGAAAAUUUUGCUUUCUUUGGCAUUUAAUUUUCCCUUGGAAUCCAAAUCUCAGCUUUAGUUAGAUUUUCUCAUGCAAAAAGGGUUACAUUCAUGUCCAGCUUUGAGAUGUAUUGUGGUAGUGUUCUGAUCUCUGAGAAGUUUGAGCUCCAGCUUGUAGACAUAAGAAUGAGCAGAGCCAGCCAUUCUCAGAAGGGUCACUAGAACCAUUUCACAUGUCUCUCAUCAGUUUACAAAGCAUCACUUCCUUAUUUCUUUAAGUAAGGACAAAGGAAAUCCAGCUGUGGAUGUUAGGGGGCUUAGCAUUUCUUUUUAAAAGAUAUUGAAAAAAUAUUAGUGGUAAAAUAUACCAUUGUUAAGUAACUAUGGAUCUAAGAUUCCCAAACUUCAAAGACACUGUAUAGUACUUAUGAAACUAUGUAGUUUUUCAUCUGAAAGCCAGUGCUUCGGGCAAAGGUUGCAAGAUUAGCAAAAAAAAAAAAAAUCAUAAUUGAUCAAAUAUCCACAAUAGAACAUAACGUAAUUGUAAAGGCAAAAAAAUUUAUCAAACGGGUCACAUCAACAAGGUAAUAGAGAUAUCUAAUGGACAAAGAAGGAACAAAAACAGAUGCGUAGCUGUUAAGGCCUCUAAAAUAUGUGCCAUGUGGUUGAUUUGAGUGCAGAGUAUACAAAGUGGUGUCAAGAUCUAUAGUUUGCCUUCAAACUGGUUCAUGACCAGUAGAUGACAGAGAGUAAGUCAAUAAGUGAACCUGAAAAAUUAAGCAUCAAGAUGCCAAGAGCAAGAGCAAGACGGCAGCUAAUAAUGAUCUCUUGUUUUUACUGGGUAUCUUUAAAGGAGGGAGUGGAACUCACCAAGCCAAAUAGUUAAAUGGAAAUAUGGUACUUCAACAAGUAAUGGGAACAAAAGAUGAAAUCAAUAAUCAAUACAUAGCGCUAUUGUCCAGAAAUUUACAUAAGAAAAUCAAACCAUAUUUUUGUCUUUUAUGUUACAAUGUAUAAUUCUAUAUUAUAUAGGCACUUUUGUGUGUGUGUGUGUCCCUCCAAUGAAGUUCAUUCCUUCUGUUUUGACACAAUGUUCAUUUCAUUGUAACAUAUUAAUCAC